CCUACGGGUGGCAGCAGUGGGGAAUAUUGGGCAAUGGAGGCAACUCUGACCCAGCAACGCCGCGUGAAUGAUGAAGGUCUUCGGAUUGUAAAGUUCUUUUCUAAGGGAAGAAGAAAGUGACGGUACCUUAGGAAUAAGCCUCGGCUAACUACGUGGCAGCAGCCGCGGUAAUACGUAGGAGGCAAGCGUUAACCGGCAUGACUGGGCGUAAAGGGGGCGUAGGUGGUAUGAAAAGUUAGUAGCGAAACUCCGGAGCUCAACGUCGGAACUACUACUAAAACUGGUGGACUUGAGUGCAUGAGGGGCAAUCGGAAUUCCGGGUGUAGCGGUGGAAUGCGUAGAUAUUAGGAGGAACACCAGUGGCGAAGGCGGAUUGCUAGCAUGUAACUGACGCUGAGGAACGAAAGCGUGGGGAGCAAACAGGAUUAGAUACCCUAGUAGUC
This 443-nucleotide ribosomal RNA is filed under the name uncultured bacterium. RNAcentral describes it as "partial 16S ribosomal RNA". It matches the Rfam family "Bacterial small subunit ribosomal RNA", at positions 338 to 795 of the family's 1533-position model. The record is from RNAcentral.